CUCAGGGAGGUAGUGACAAGAAAUAACAACACUGGAAAUUUUAUUUCUAGUGAUUGGAAUGAUGGGAAUUUAAACCCCUUUCAGAGUAACAACUGGAGGGCAAGUCUGGUGCCAGCAGCCGCGGUAAUUCCAGCUCCAAUAGCGUAUAUUAAAGUUGUUGCAGUUAAAAAGCUCGUAGUUGGAUGUCUGCUGGAAGCAAUCAGUCCGCCCUAUUUGUAGGGUGUGCACUUGAUGAAUUCUGGCAUCUAUGUCCUAAUGUGAUAGAUACGGCGGUGUAUAUGGGUUAAUCCUAUAUACCCGUUUGUAUAUUAUAUUGGGAUAAUACCGUUACUUUGAGAAAAUUAGAGUGUUUGAAGCAGGCUAAUUGCCUUGAAUACUGCAGCAUGGAAUAACAAUAUAGGAUUUCGGUUCUAUUUUGUUGGUUUCUAGGAUUGAAAUAAUGAUUAAUAGGGACAGUUGGGGGCAUUCGUAUUUAACUGUCAGAGGUGAAAUUCUUAGAUUUGUUAAAGACGAACUACUGCGAAAGCAUUUGCCAAAGAUGUUUUCAUUAAUCAAGAACGAAAGUUAGGGGCUCGAAGACGAUCAGAUACCGUCGUAGUCUUAACCAUAAACUAUGCCGACUAGAGAUAGGAAAAUGUCAUUUUUCUGACUU
This 652-nucleotide ribosomal RNA is filed under the name Sarcocystis hjorti. RNAcentral describes it as "SSU rRNA". It matches the Rfam family "Eukaryotic small subunit ribosomal RNA", at positions 455 to 1077 of the family's 1831-position model. Lineage: Eukaryota; Apicomplexa; Conoidasida; Eucoccidiorida; Sarcocystidae. The record is from RNAcentral.